GAGGGUAUAGCUCAGUGGUAGAGUGUGUGCUUAGCAUGCAUGAGGUCCUGGGUUCAAUCCCCAGUAUCUCUG
This 72-nucleotide transfer RNA is filed under the name Camelus bactrianus (Bactrian camel). It matches the Rfam family "tRNA". From Rfam's summary of the family: Transfer RNA (tRNA) molecules are approximately 80 nucleotides in length. Their secondary structure includes four short double-helical elements and three loops (D, anti-codon, and T loops). RNAcentral also lists the same sequence under 3 other names. The record is from Rfam by way of RNAcentral. Lineage: Eukaryota; Metazoa; Chordata; Mammalia; Artiodactyla; Camelidae.